RNAcentral lists this ribosomal RNA (914 nucleotides) under uncultured archaeon. RNAcentral describes it as "bacterial SSU rRNA". It matches the Rfam family "Archaeal small subunit ribosomal RNA", at positions 1 to 922 of the family's 1478-position model. The record is from RNAcentral.
UYCCGGUUGAUCCCGCCGGACCUGACUGCUAUCGGAUUGAUACUAAGCCAUGCGAGUCAUUGUAGCAAUACAAGGCAUACGGCUCAGUAACGCGUAGUCAACCUAACCUAUGGACGGGAAUAACCUCGGGAAACUGAGAAUAAUGCCCGAUAGAACAUUAUACCUGGAAUGGUUUAUGUUCCAAAUGAUUUAUCGCCGUAGGAUGGGACUGCGGCCUAUCAGUUUGUUGGUGAGGUAAUGGCCCACCAAGACUAUUACAGGUACGGGCUCUGAGAGGAGUAGCCCGGAGAUGGGUACUGAGACACGGACCCAGGCCCUAUGGGGCGCAGCAGGCGAGAAAACUUUGCAAUGUGCGAAAGCACGACAAGGUUAAUCCGAGUGAUUUCUGCUAAAGAAAUCUUUUGUUAGUCCUAGAAACACUAACGAAUAAGGGGUGGGCAAGUUCUGGUGUCAGCCGCCGCGGUAAAACCAGCACCUCAAGUGGUCAGGAUGAUUAUUGGGCCUAAAGCAUCCGUAGCCGGCUCUGUAAGUUUUCGGUUAAAUCUGUACGCUUAACGUACAGGCCGCCGGGAAUACUGCAAAGCUAGGGAGUGGGAGAAGUAGACGGUACUCGGUAGGAAGUGGUAAAAUGCUUUGAUCUAUCGAUGACCACCUGUGGCGAAGGCGGUCUACUAGAACACGUCCGACGGUGAGGGAUGAAAGCUGGGGGAGCAAACCGGAUUAGAUACCCGGGUAGUCCCAGCUGUAAACUAUGCAAACUCAGUGAUGCAUUGGCUUGUGGCCAAUGCAGUGCUGCAGGGAAGCCGUUAAGUUUGCCGCCUGGGAAGUACGUACGCAAGUAUGAAACUUAAAGGAAUUGGCGGGGGAGCACCACAAGGGGUGAAGCCUGCGGUUCAAUUGGAGUCAACGCCGGA